GCGGCGAACGGGUGAGUAACACGUGGGUGAUCUGCCCUGUACUUCGGGAUAAGCCUGGGAAACUGGGUCUAAUACCGGAUAUGACCUACGAGAUGCAUGUCUUGUGGUGGAAAGAUUUAUCGGUACAGGAUGGGCCCGCGGCCUAUCAGCUUGUUGGUGGGGUAAUGGCCUACCAAGGCGACGACGGGUAGCCGGCCUGAGAGGGCGACCGGCCACACUGGGACUGAGACACGGCCCAGACUCCUACGGGAGGCAGCAGUGGGGAAUAUUGCACAAUGGGCGAAAGCCUGAUGCAGCGACGCCGCGUGAGGGAUGACGGCCUUCGGGUUGUAAACCUCUUUCGACAGGGACGAAGCGCAAGUGACGGUACCUGUAGAAGAAGCACCGGCCAACUACGUGCCAGCAGCCGCGGUAAUACGUAGGGUGCGAGCGUUGUCCGGAAUUACUGGGCGUAAAGAGCUUGUAGGCGGUUCGUCGCGUCGUUCGUGAAAACUUGGGGCUCAACCCCAAGCUUGCGGGCGAUACGGGCGGACUAGAGUACUUCAGGGGAGACUGGAAUUCCUGGUGUAGCGGUGAAAUGCGCAGAUAUCAGGAGGAACACCGGUGGCGAAGGCGGGUCUCUGGGAAGUAACUGACGCUGAGAAGCGAAAGCGUGGGUAGCGAACAGGAUUAGAUACCCUGGUAGUCCACGCCGUAAACGGUGGGUACUAGGUGUGGGUUUCCUUCCACGGGAUCCGUGCCGUAGCUAACGCAUUAAGUACCCCGCCUGGGGAGUACGGCCGCAAGGCUAAAACUCAAAGGAAUUGACGGAUGCCCGCACAAGCGGCGGAGCAUGUGGAUUAAUUCGAUGCAACGCGAAGAACCUUACCUGGGUUUGACAUACACCGGAAACCUGCAGAGAUGUAGGCAUCGUUGUGGUCGGUGUACAGGUGGUGCA
Molecule: ribosomal RNA, 937 nt
Filed under: Nocardia asteroides
Lineage: Bacteria; Bacillati; Actinomycetota; Actinomycetes; Mycobacteriales; Nocardiaceae
Description: bacterial SSU rRNA
Rfam family: Bacterial small subunit ribosomal RNA
Source: RNAcentral